AAUGUUUACCAUUGCUGAUUAUGAUCUUCAAUAUUCUGAUGGAACCUCCUCUUGCUUGAGCCAAGAACUGUUUGAGCUCGGGCGUAGCUGCAGUAAUCAGAUAUAAGGCAAAACAAAGUUAAAGAAACAAACAGUGGUUCUGCAGGUGAAAGCAACUGAGACAGAGUUUGUUCCUGAUCUGGUCUCAGUCUGGUUACCAAACCCUGCGAUCUCAUGAAUGAUGUAAGAUCAGGUGAGAAAGAGGAACACUUCCGUUAACCAGUCCCCCCAGUGCUCCAGUGAGCGGCCUCUCCUCCGAUGGCAGACCGAUACAGAAGCACGCACAAGUGACAUAAACGCCUGGAGGAUGACUCGG
Gambusia affinis (western mosquitofish) is the source of this 355-nucleotide long non-coding RNA. RefSeq lists it as uncharacterized. The record is from RefSeq and is a predicted model, not a curated record. The transcript is spliced from 3 exons. NCBI's taxonomy places the organism in Eukaryota, Metazoa, Chordata, Actinopteri, Cyprinodontiformes, Poeciliidae.